UCUGCCUGUGCCUCAGGUGCUGGGCCCUGCUUCAGACUUGCCCUUUGCCUUCCUUUUUCUAAAGCUGAGCACUGGGGUGCUAGAGAGAGAGGUCUCAAGGUCCUACCUGCUUUAGACUCCGUGUUGGCAUGGCUAUAUUCCUGUGACGGAUGAUCUGUCCAGCUGUUUCCUAAGUGGAAGAAGUGUUUUGCCAGUAUGUCUGCAUCAUAGAGGGCAGAAGAGCCCAUUGGAUUCCCUGGAACAGGAGUUACAGAUGAUUGUGAGCCACUGUGUGGGUGCUAGGAACCAAAGCCAGGUCCUCUGGAAGAGCAGCCAGAGCUUUAACUAUCUGAAGUAGAGCUCAUCCUUCACUGAGGACAGGCGGGCAAGGGGCAUGAGAGAACUUGGGAAUUAGUCCCGACCGCUAGAUAAAGCUGGUGCUAUCUUCCUGCUUUCAGAGGAUGACUCGGGCAUUUGUGCAUCGAAAUGAGGUACCUGUCAGUCGUGAUGGAUGGAGUCAGCCCACAGGGCAGUCCAGUGAGCUCGGUUUCCUGUUCCCCUGUGAUGGUGCUCAGAGACCAGUAUUAGGACCCUAAGUGGGAGGGUGUGUGUGUCGCAGGCCUAAGGGAUAGGCAAACUUUGUGUUGAGGUUCUCCAGGGAUAAGGAGAGUCUGUUUUUAGCCUUCUCCUGCACACAUGUGCAGUAAUUGUGUUCGCAUGUGUGCACGUGUGUGUGUGUGUGUGUGUGUGUGUGUGUGUGUGUGUGUGUGUGUGUGUGU
Molecule: long non-coding RNA, 758 nt
Organism: Peromyscus californicus insignis
Lineage: Eukaryota; Metazoa; Chordata; Mammalia; Rodentia; Cricetidae
Exons: 3
Source: RefSeq, a predicted model, not a curated record